RNAcentral lists this long non-coding RNA (244 nucleotides) under Ananas comosus (pineapple). RNAcentral describes it as "long non-coding RNA (ACOM_LNC005685)". The record is from RNAcentral. Lineage: Eukaryota; Viridiplantae; Streptophyta; Magnoliopsida; Poales; Bromeliaceae.
AUUCACAAUUGGUGAUUAAACAGGUGAAUGGAGAAUACCGAUGUGAAAACUGGAAUUUGCAAAAUUACUUGAGAAAAACGAUAGAAUUACUCUGCAGUUUCGGAGAGAUUGAGUUUGAGCAUUUGACAAGAGAAGAAAAUGAACAGGCUAAUGAAUUAGCCCAAUCGGCAUUCAGGUAUAAAGAGUCGAAACGGGAUCAAGUGAAAAUAAAACGAAGAUUAUUACCAUCGGUUCAUAUAUGAGA